This 203-nucleotide long non-coding RNA is filed under the name Prunus persica (peach). RNAcentral's name for it is "long non-coding RNA (PPER_LNC006255)". Lineage: Eukaryota; Viridiplantae; Streptophyta; Magnoliopsida; Rosales; Rosaceae. The record is from RNAcentral.
CGAAAAUGAAUGAAAGCGACAAAUUUAUAGAAUAAAUUUUUAAAACCAACGGCGGUCCUUACAAAAAAACCGCCGUUUAAAUUGUAAAAUCAACGUCGGUAUGACCGACGUAUAUUACAGAAAUCCACGUCGGUACAUUAAUAAAAACGACGUGUUAAAUAAUCUACCAUGACGCGAGUUAUUACUUAUGAACUUUAAUUUUU